UACGUAGGGAGCAAGCGUUGUCCGGAUUUAUUGGGCGUAAAGAGCUCGUAGGCGGUUCCGUAAGUCAGGUGUGAAAAAUCUGGGCUCAACCCAGUGGAGCGCCUGAUACUGCGGUGACUCGAGUCCGGUAGGGGAGUGUGGAAUUCCUGGUGUAGCGGUGAAAUGCGCAGAUAUCAGGAGGAACACCGACGGCGAAGGCAGCACUCUGGGCCGGUACUGACGCUGAGGAGCGAAAGCAUGGGGAGCGAACAGG
This 253-nucleotide ribosomal RNA is filed under the name uncultured bacterium. RNAcentral describes it as "partial 16S ribosomal RNA". It matches the Rfam family "Bacterial small subunit ribosomal RNA", at positions 524 to 776 of the family's 1533-position model. The record is from RNAcentral.